This 150-nucleotide ribosomal RNA is filed under the name Phellinus alni. Its description in RNAcentral is "5.8S ribosomal RNA". It matches the Rfam family "5.8S ribosomal RNA". Rfam says of the family: 5.8S ribosomal RNA (5.8S rRNA) is a component of the large subunit of the eukaryotic ribosome. It is transcribed by RNA polymerase I as part of the 45S precursor that also contains 18S and 28S rRNA. Lineage: Eukaryota; Fungi; Basidiomycota; Agaricomycetes; Hymenochaetales; Hymenochaetaceae. The record is from RNAcentral.
AACUUUCAACAACGGAUCUCUUGGCUCUCGCAUCGAUGAAGAACGCAGCGAAAUGCGAUAAGUAAUGUGAAUUGCAGAAUUCAGUGAAUCAUCGAAUCUUUGAACGCACCUUGCGCCCCUUGGUAUUCCGAGGGGCAUGCCUGUUUGAGU